CAGUAGCCGCGGUAACACGUAGGUGGCGAGCGUUGUCCGGAAUUAUUGGGCGUAAAGGGAGCGCAGGCGGGCGAGUAAGUCUUUCUUAAAAGUGCGGGGCUCAACCCCGUGAGGGGAGAGAAACUACUCAUCUUGAGUGCAGGAGAGGAAAGCGGAAUUCCUAGUGUAGCGGUGAAAUGCGUAGAUAUUAUGAAGAACACCAGUGGCGAAGGCGGCUUUCUGGACUGUAACUGACGCUGAGGCUCGAAAGCCAGGGGAGCGAACGGGAUUAGAUACCCCCGUAGUCCCUGUCUCUUAUACC
Molecule: ribosomal RNA, 301 nt
Filed under: uncultured bacterium
Lineage: Bacteria
Description: partial 16S ribosomal RNA
Rfam family: Bacterial small subunit ribosomal RNA
Source: RNAcentral